AGGGAAUCUUGCGCAAUGGGCGAAAGCCUGACGCAGCGACGCCGCGUGGGGGAUGAAGGUCUUCGGAUCGUAAACCCCUGUCUUUGGGGACGAAGCAUGACGGUACCCAAGGAGGAAGCCCCGGCUAACUACGUGCCAGCAGCCGCGGUAAAACGUAGGGGGCGAGCGUUGUCCGGAAUUACUGGGCGUAAAGGGUGCGUAGGCGGCCGCUUAAGUCCUGUGUGAAAGGCCCCGGCUUAACCGGGGAGGGUCAUGGGAAACUGGGCGGCUUGAGUGCCGGAGAGGGUGGCGGAAUUCCCGGUGUAGCGGUGAAAUGCGUAGAGAUCGGGAGGAACACCAGUGGCGAAGGCGGCCACCUGGACGGUAACUGACGCUGAGGCACGACAGCUGGGGGAGCAAAC
Molecule: ribosomal RNA, 401 nt
Filed under: uncultured bacterium
Lineage: Bacteria
Description: bacterial SSU rRNA
Rfam family: Bacterial small subunit ribosomal RNA
Source: RNAcentral